RNAcentral lists this long non-coding RNA (406 nucleotides) under Ailuropoda melanoleuca (giant panda). Its description in RNAcentral is "lncRNA (ENSAMEG00000031503.1)". The record is from RNAcentral. Lineage: Eukaryota; Metazoa; Chordata; Mammalia; Carnivora; Ursidae.
AUAAAUCCUGUUUGGUUUUAGUUUCUCUGCUGGGCAGCAAGUGCCUCCUUGAAGGGAGAUCUGGAUGGUGUAUCUCCACGUCCACCACAGCUAGCAUCAGACCUGCGGCACUGAGUCCCUCUGGAUCUCGGUCUCCUUCCUCAUCUCUGCGAGGCUCACUGCCUACUCACAGCUACUUCCCUAAAUCACCCAGCUCAGAGAGAACUGUCCACAUGCUUGCCAUUCAUCCUCUUGCUGUGUGGAGGGUUUGUCUGAUUCUAAGAGGCAGAAGGCUUUUCUCCUGCUCCUACCUUGCUGGCCAUGUGUGCUGCUCGGAAAAUGGUGCCUCAACACUGCUGUAGCCAAUGAGGUGAGCUCCGGCAUGUGCACCAGGAAGCUGUUUCCAGAUGAUCCUGCAUAUCGGUGG